CCCUUAGAUGUUCUGGGCUGCACACGUGCUACACUGGCAGGUUCAGCGAGCUUCAUGCCCAGAUCUGAAAGGAAUGGGAAAUCUUUUCAAAACCUGCCGUGCUUGGGAUAGAUGUUUGCAAUUAUUCAUCUUCAACGAGGAUUGCCUUGUAAGCGCACGUCAUCAGCGUGCAUUGAAUACGACCCUGUAUUCUGUACACACCGCCCGUCGCUCCUACCGAUUGAAGUUUUCGGUGAGUUGACAGGAGGAUUUUUUUGAAACUGGUUCGCCAGUGGAUUUUAGAUCCAAAUGCCAACGAAUCGAUGGCUUUAGAGGAAGGAGAAGUCGUAACA
RNAcentral lists this ribosomal RNA (332 nucleotides) under uncultured eukaryote. RNAcentral describes it as "partial 18S ribosomal RNA". It matches the Rfam family "Eukaryotic small subunit ribosomal RNA", at positions 1470 to 1796 of the family's 1831-position model. The record is from RNAcentral.